This 173-nucleotide ribosomal RNA is filed under the name uncultured bacterium. RNAcentral's name for it is "partial 16S ribosomal RNA". It matches the Rfam family "Bacterial small subunit ribosomal RNA", at positions 334 to 524 of the family's 1533-position model. The record is from RNAcentral.
UACUCCUACGGGAGGCAGCAGUGGGGAAUAUUGCACAAUGGGGGAAACCCUGAUGCAGCGACGCCGCGUGAGUGAAGAAGUGUUUCGGCACGUAAAGCUCUAUCAGCAGGGAAGAAAAUGACGGUACCUGACUAAGAAGCCCCGGCUAACUACGUGCCAGCAGCCGCGGUAAU